RNAcentral lists this long non-coding RNA (230 nucleotides) under Mytilus galloprovincialis (Mediterranean mussel). Lineage: Eukaryota; Metazoa; Mollusca; Bivalvia; Mytilida; Mytilidae. The record is from RNAcentral.
CUGUUGAUUAAAAAAUACUCCAUUCCAAGACCUUUUGUUUUCCAAAUAAUUAAUAUUACCAAUAACUGAUAAGUUCCAGUUCAACAGGUUCAAACAGAAAGACUUGAAAGCAGAGAAAAACUGUGUAGUAUCUUAUAAUCGACAUGACUUUAUCAGAUGACAAUACUAAUACUAAAAUAAGGCUUGCGAAUAGUUAUAUACUUUAAUUCAGUCACGGACCCGUGAUAUCA